RNAcentral lists this ribosomal RNA (799 nucleotides) under Acinetobacter pittii. Its description in RNAcentral is "bacterial SSU rRNA". It matches the Rfam family "Bacterial small subunit ribosomal RNA", at positions 59 to 852 of the family's 1533-position model. The record is from RNAcentral. Lineage: Bacteria; Pseudomonadati; Pseudomonadota; Gammaproteobacteria; Moraxellales; Moraxellaceae.
AAGUCGAGCGGAGAGAGGUAGCUUGCUACUGAUCUUAGCGGCGGACGGGUGAGUAAUGCUUAGGAAUCUGCCUAUUAGUGGGGGACAACAUUUCGAAAGGAAUGCUAAUACCGCAUACGUCCUACGGGAGAAAGCAGGGGAUCUUCGGACCUUGCGCUAAUAGAUGAGCCUAAGUCGGAUUAGCUAGUUGGUGGGGUAAAGGCCUACCAAGGCGACGAUCUGUAGCGGGUCUGAGAGGAUGAUCCGCCACACUGGGACUGAGACACGGCCCAGACUCCUACGGGAGGCAGCAGUGGGGAAUAUUGGACAAUGGGCGCAAGCCUGAUCCAGCCAUGCCGCGUGUGUGAAGAAGGCCUUAUGGUUGUAAAGCACUUUAAGCGAGGAGGAGGCUACUUUAGUUAAUACCUAGAGAUAGUGGACGUUACUCGCAGAAUAAGCACCGGCUAACUCUGUGCCAGCAGCCGCGGUAAUACAGAGGGUGCAAGCGUUAAUCGGAUUUACUGGGCGUAAAGCGCGCGUAGGCGGCUAAUUAAGUCAAAUGUGAAAUCCCCGAGCUUAACUUGGGAAUUGCAUUCGAUACUGGUUAGCUAGAGUGUGGGAGAGGAUGGUAGAAUUCCAGGUGUAGCGGUGAAAUGCGUAGAGAUCUGGAGGAAUACCGAUGGCGAAGGCAGCCAUCUGGGCUAGCACUGACGCUGAGGUGCGAAAGCAUGCGGAGCAAACACGAUUAGAUACCCUGGUAGUCCAUGCCGUAAACGAUGUCUACUAGACGUUGGGGCCUCUGAGGCUUUAUUGGCGCAUC